GAAAUGCGAUAAGUAAUGUGAAUUGCAGAAUACUGUGAGUCAUCAAAGGCUUGAACGCAUAUGGCGCCUGUCGAUAAAGAGACGGGCACAUCUGUUUGAGUGUCGUUUUUUCAAAAAUCAAAAAUAAGCUGUCAGGCUAUUUUUUGGAGAGUGGGCGUUCCAUUUUCAUUGGAUCGCUUGAAAUGGAGGGUUAUUAAGGAGGAUCCCAAAAAACAAAACUGGCGCAAGGGACUUUACUAAAAAGCUCGGCAAAGUUAUUUUAUUUUCGGGUCGCUCUAAUUCACACAGGAGUAAAUCAAAAUCGACCUCAAAUCAGGUGAGAUUACCCGCUGAACUUAA
RNAcentral lists this unclassified non-coding RNA (339 nucleotides) under uncultured Acaulospora. RNAcentral describes it as "sequence contains ITS1". The stretch from base 1 to 105 matches the Rfam family "5.8S ribosomal RNA", at positions 50 to 154 of the family's 154-position model. Lineage: Eukaryota; Fungi; Glomeromycota; Glomeromycetes; Diversisporales; Acaulosporaceae. The record is from RNAcentral.